CUCCUCUUGGAUAUCGUGUGCUACACGCUUCCGGCUGACAGUGCGCUUUUUAGGCCUGCGCGCGCGACUCGCGCAAUGGACGUCGCAAUCCCCUCCCUCCCUCCCUUCCUCCUUCUCGCCUUUCUUCCAGCGUGAUUCUCGAUGAACCACAAAUCUCCCCGACAAACGAAGAGGGUGGAGUCUGUCGCGGACGUUUCAUACGAGAUCGCGAGGCGUUCAUGAUACAACGACGACAAUGAUGAUGAUGAUGACGACAACGACAGCGACGACGACGACGACGACGACGACAAGCGAGACGCAUAUCUGGGUGUAUCAGACUCCAUGCACCAAAGGACGGGCGCCAUGUCGUCGUUUUCCUCCUCGAGCAACCGACCUAUCGAUCUUCUUCAGUGGCGUAAUGUGUGCGCACAACUAUUUGUAAUUUCGGCAAGGUCCACAUCCCAAGUCGGAUGCUCAGCGAAUAGAAGAAGAAAAAGGAAUGCAAGAAAUUGUUAUUGAAAAAAAAAAA
This is a long non-coding RNA of Acromyrmex echinatior (Panamanian leafcutter ant), 508 nucleotides long. The record is from RefSeq and is a predicted model, not a curated record. Lineage: Eukaryota; Metazoa; Arthropoda; Insecta; Hymenoptera; Formicidae.